Molecule: transfer RNA, 76 nt
Filed under: Cordylochernes scorpioides
Lineage: Eukaryota; Metazoa; Arthropoda; Arachnida; Pseudoscorpiones; Chernetidae
Description: tRNA-Thr
Source: RNAcentral
AGUGUCAAGGGAUGGGAAUCGAAUCCACGACCUUCCGCUUACCGGGCAGAUGCCAUGACCACUAGGCCACAUGACC